Dicentrarchus labrax (European seabass) is the source of this 970-nucleotide long non-coding RNA. RefSeq lists it as uncharacterized. Lineage: Eukaryota; Metazoa; Chordata; Actinopteri; Moronidae. The transcript is spliced from 2 exons. The record is from RefSeq and is a predicted model, not a curated record.
GGGAAUGCACAAACAGGGCGUCAUUUCAAAUCGGAUGUUAAUAAGUGAAAGUGAAAGAUGUGAAGGUUUGGAUUCUUUGUCAGGUUUCUGCGUUACGGAACAACAACAGCUCGACUAUAAAGCUGCAAAAACAAUCAGAGAUUGGUCCCCUCCACCGCCAAGGAAUUCUCAACGGUAUGCAGCCUACAUCAACAACACCACAGCACUGUGGCCUGUUUGUAUUGUCGUUGAUUCCACCCCUUACUACCCCCUCAAUAGGGGCCCUGCCACUCACACACACUGUAUUGGCCGCUGAGCACGCAACCCCAGGAGUUUUAAAAGCUUGCCGACUGUCUGCUGUAUUCUAGUUGUUUUUACAAACCAAAAAGUGUAAAAGAAAACUCCAUGACAUCCUUAUUACCGAUGUCAGUCUCUCUCUCUCUCUGUCUGUAUGUGUGUGUAUGGCAGGAGCACUGAGAUGAAAGAGCAGAGGAAGUUUCUUGUGGCCUCAUGUUCCCUCACAAACUUCUCCUCACUCUCAAUAACUAACCUUCCAUGUCUGGAUAUUGUCUCGCUGCUAUUAACUAGCCAAGCAAGUGAAAAUAUUAACGUGUUGGAGUUUUUGGACAUUUAAUGUAGGUUACAGUGGAUAUAUUUUGAUGAAAAACAUCAUUGGUAAGUUGUUUCAUAGGCUGUUCUAGAUGCUGGCUAUACCUUUUUCAGAAAUACUGUUGUUUGUGAUUAGUUAUUGUAGUAAGGACAGGCCACACAUUGCUGCUUGCACACUUGUAGUUUGUUGUCAUCUGUGGGUUGAUUGUGUAGGCUGUGUCCAACAUGUCAGACUGUGUAUUCAUUUACUACCCUAUCCUUGGCUCCCUGCCCACUGAGGUUUGAGCAAAUUAUUGCACUAUAAAACCCAAUGUGUUAGUUCAGUCCACUCGAAUGUAGUAUCAUUUGGUGUGAAUAUAAUAAAAUGUGGUUAUUUAUGGUG